Molecule: ribosomal RNA, 514 nt
Filed under: uncultured bacterium
Lineage: Bacteria
Description: bacterial SSU rRNA
Rfam family: Bacterial small subunit ribosomal RNA
Source: RNAcentral
GAUGAACGCUAGCGAUAGGCCUAACACAUGCAAGUCGAGGGGCAUCACAUGAAGCAGCAAUGCGGAUGGUGGCGACCGGCGCACGGGUGAGUAACGCGUAUGCAAUCUACCUACAACAAGGGAAUAACCCGUUGAAAAACGGACUAAUACCCUAUAAUACAGGGGUCCCGCAUGGGAAUAUUUGUUAAAGAUUUAUCGGUUGUAGAUGAGCAUGCGUUCCAUUAGCUAGUUGGUGAGGUAACGGCCCACCAAGGCAACGAUGGAUAGGGGAACUGAGAGGUUUAUCCCCCACACUGGUACUGAGACACGGACCAGACUCCUACGGGAGGCAGCAGUGAGGAAUAUUGGUCAAUGGACGCAAGUCUGAACCAGCCACGUCGCGUGAAGGAAGACGGCCCUACGGGUUGUAAACUUCUUUUGUAAGGGAAUAAAGUGUAGUACGUGUACUAUUUUGCAUGUACCUUACGAAUAAGGAUCGGCUAACUCCGUGCCAGCAGCCGCGGUAAAAGUCACG